UGAACCCUUCGUGAUGCUAGCACUGUGUCAUGCUCACCUAUAUCAUUCCCAUCUCCUUCUAAAUGGUCUGGUAGUUCCUCUUCUUCAUUGUAAUUCCCAAUUGUCUUCUUGAGCAAGGAUAUGUGGAACAUUGGGUGCACUCGUGAUCCCUCAGGUAAUUUCAAUUUGUAAGCACAAUUCCUCGAGCCACAAUUGGAUAGGGACAACAAAUUUUAGCUUAUAACUUCGCAUAAAUACAAGCCACCACUGAUUGGGGGACUAAAAGUCGGAAGCAAAAGUUAUGAUAGAAAAAAAAAAAAUUAGGACUAAAAGUUGAAGAAAUCUUUAAAAGUUAAAUAAAAAAUUUAUAUAUUUACAAAAACCAAAAAUAUAUUUAAGCCAAAAUUUUCUGAAGAGAUUCUCACAGGACAUAAUUUCCCUUCCAAUUCGCACACGACUUUUUUGCUACAAUCCAGUAAGAGAUUGAAAUACGUUUGUUUCCUUCUUACAUGUAUAACCCCUCUUAACAUUUUCAAGCAUAUUUCAAAUGUGUGCAUGUUGGUUCCAAAAUAUUUAACCAAUAAUUAAGUUACAAUUGAGCAUUAUGGAACAACCUCAUGUUCAAUUGAUUCAUGCGUACAUUACCAUAUGUCAUUCAUCUGUACCUCCUAUUUAUAUAUAUAUAUAUAUAAUAUAAUUAUAAAUGAUAAUUUUCUAUCUAAUCCUCGAGCAUCAUUGUUUAUUUU
Molecule: long non-coding RNA, 725 nt
Filed under: Medicago truncatula (barrel medic)
Lineage: Eukaryota; Viridiplantae; Streptophyta; Magnoliopsida; Fabales; Fabaceae
Description: long non-coding RNA (MTRU_LNC005101)
Source: RNAcentral